RNAcentral lists this ribosomal RNA (376 nucleotides) under uncultured bacterium. Its description in RNAcentral is "bacterial SSU rRNA". It matches the Rfam family "Bacterial small subunit ribosomal RNA", at positions 524 to 898 of the family's 1533-position model. The record is from RNAcentral.
GACGAAGGUGGCUAGCGUUGUUCGGUGUCACUGGGCUUAAAGAGUAUGUAGGCGGAAAAGUAAGCGUUUUGUGAAAUCCCUCGGCUUAACCGAGGAAUUGCUUGGCGAACUGCUUUUCUUGAGGCAAGUAGGGGUGCAUGGAACUCUUGGUGGAGCGGUGGAAUGCGUAGAUAUCAAGAGGAACGCCAAUGGAGAAAUCAGUGCACUGGGCUUGUCCUGACGCUGAGAUACGAAAGCGUGGGUAGCGAACGGGAUUAGAUACCCCGGUAGUCCACGCCGUAAACGAUGUCUACUAGGUUGCGGGUGUUCUGACACAGUCGCGGCCGAAGCAAAAGUGUUAAGUAGACCGCCUGGGGAGUACGGUCGCAAGGCUAAA